This 497-nucleotide ribosomal RNA is filed under the name uncultured bacterium. Its description in RNAcentral is "partial 16S ribosomal RNA". It matches the Rfam family "Bacterial small subunit ribosomal RNA", at positions 28 to 507 of the family's 1533-position model. The record is from RNAcentral.
GAUGAACGCUGGCGGCGUGCCUAAUACAUGCAAGUCGAGCGAACAGACGAGGAGCUUGCUCCUCUGACGUUAGCGGCGGACGGGUGAGUAACACGUGUAUAACCUACCUAUAAGACUGAGAUAACUUCGGGAAACGGGAGCUAAUACCGGAUAAUAUAUUGAACCGCAUGGGUCAAUAGUGAAAUACGGUUGUUGUGUCACUAAUAGAUGGAUCCGUGCCGCAUUAUCUAGUUGUUCAGUUAACGGCUUACCAAGGCGACGAUGCGUAGCCGACCUGAGAGGGUGAUCGGCGACAUUGGAAGGGCGACACCGACCUGAGUACUAAGGGAGGGAGCAGUAUCGUAUCUUCCGCAAUGGGCGAAAGCCUGACGGAGCGACGCCGCGUGAGUGAUGAAGGUGUUCGGAUCGUAAAAAUCUGUUAUUAGGGAAGAACAAAUGUGUAAGUAAAUAUGCACGUCUUGACGGUAACUAAUCAGAAAGCCACGGCUAACUACGUG